RNAcentral lists this unclassified non-coding RNA (266 nucleotides) under plant metagenome. RNAcentral describes it as "partial contains small subunit ribosomal RNA, internal transcribed spacer 1, and 5.8S ribosomal RNA". The record is from RNAcentral.
UUUCCGUAGGUGAACCUGCGGAAGGAUCAUUAUCGUACAAAAUGUGAGGGGCAUGCGAGGGCUGUCGCUGCCCCAAAAGUCGUGCACGCCCGAGUGUGUCCCCUUGCAUAAUAAUCCAUCUCACCCUUUGUGCAUCACCGCGUGGGCACCCUUCGGGAUCAUCUCGGAGGGGGCUCGCGUUUUCACACAAACCCCCCUUUUAAAAGUGUAGAAUGACCACAUUUAUGCAAUCAAUACAACUUUCAACAACGGAUCUCUUGGCUCUC